UACGGAGGGUGCAAGCGUUAUCCGGAUUCACUGGGUUUAAAGGGUGCGUAGGUGGGUUGGUAAGUCAGUGGUGAAAUCUCCAGGCUCAACUUGGAAACUGCCAUUGAUACUAUUAAUCUUGAAUACCGUGGAGGUCAGCGGAAUAUGUCAUGUAGCGGUGAAAUGCUUAGAUAUGACAUAGAACACCAAUUGCGAAGGCAGCUGGCUACACGAAUAUUG
RNAcentral lists this ribosomal RNA (219 nucleotides) under uncultured bacterium. RNAcentral describes it as "partial 16S ribosomal RNA". It matches the Rfam family "Bacterial small subunit ribosomal RNA", at positions 524 to 742 of the family's 1533-position model. The record is from RNAcentral.